UGAUCAUGGCUCAGAUUGAACGCUGGCGGCAGGCCUAACACAUGCAAGUCGAGCGGUAACAGGGGAAGCUUGCUUCUCGCUGACGAGCGGCGGACGGGUGAGUAAUGUAUGGGGAUCUGCCCGAUCGAGGGGGAUAACCACUGGAAACGGUGGCUAAUACCGCAUAAUCUCUUAGGAGCAAAGCAGGGGAACUUCGGUCCUUGCGCUAUCGGAUGAACCCAUAUGGGAUUAGCUAGUAGGUGGGGUAAUGGCUCACCUAGGCGACGAUCCCUAGCUGGUCUGAGAGGAUGAUCAGCCACACUGGGACUGAGACACGGCCCAGACUCCUACGGGAGGCAGCAGUGGGGAAUAUUGCACAAUGGGCGCAAGCCUGAUGCAGCCAUGCCGCGUGUAUGAAGAAGGCCCUAGGGUUGUAAAGUACUUUCAGUCGGGAGGAAGGCGUUGAUGCUAAUAUCAUCAACGAUUGACGUUACCGACAGAAGAAGCACCGGCUAACUCCGUGCCAGCAGCCGCGGUAAUACGGAGGGUGUAAGCGUUAAUCGGAAUUACUGGGCGUAAAGCGCACGCAGGCGGUUGAUUAAGUUAGAUGUGAAAUCCCCGGGCUUAACCUGGGAAUGGCAUCUAAGACUGGUCAGCUAGAGUCUUGUAGAGGGGGGUAGAAUUCCAUGUGUAGCGGUGAAAUGCGUAGAGAUGUGGAGGAAUACCGGUGGCGAAGGCGGCCCCCUGGACAAAGACUGACGCUCAGGUGCGAAAGCGUGG
RNAcentral lists this ribosomal RNA (759 nucleotides) under uncultured bacterium. RNAcentral's name for it is "bacterial SSU rRNA". It matches the Rfam family "Bacterial small subunit ribosomal RNA", at positions 14 to 764 of the family's 1533-position model. The record is from RNAcentral.